Benincasa hispida (wax gourd) is the source of this 2462-nucleotide non-coding RNA. The record is from RefSeq and is a predicted model, not a curated record. Lineage: Eukaryota; Viridiplantae; Streptophyta; Magnoliopsida; Cucurbitales; Cucurbitaceae.
CCGCUGCACACACAAGUCACAAUGCAUUACGCAAGUUCUUCCUUUUCGUCUUCCUUUAGAACUUCUAGGGUAUUUUUUUAGCCGCUGCCGCCGUUCUUCUUUCGUCGACCAGAGGAAACUUUCUCCGUUCUUCUUUCGUGAACCAGAGGACGCAUGAAAGACUUUUGCCAUUCUUCUUUCGUGAACCAAAGGAAAGACUUUCGCCGUUCUUUUUUCGUGAACCAGAGGACGUAUGAAAGACCAGAAGACCACCGCUUCCAUUUGUUUCGUGCUCAGGAAAGGAAAAUAACCUUGCAGGCCGUAGCUCUAGUACAUGUAAAUAAAAUUUGGUUCGUGUUUAGAUCGCCACCCGCAAGCCGCAGCUCAUUCGAGUCAGUCCUCAUCCGAUUGAAUUAUUGAAAUUUUAGGUACCAUCGGUCUAUCACAAUGAGCUUGAGCAAGAGCAACGAUUCCAAUGAUGAUGUUAUUGUGAUGCCACUACUACCACCACCACCACGAAAAAAACGAAAGUGAGGAGACAGUUUCAAAGCAUAUAAGUGGACGGAAGAGGAAAAAUUCAUCUAUGGUAUGGGAUCACUUUUCUAAAUGUUCUGAAUAUAGUGAUGAUGAUCCGCAUGCUAAAUGUAACUAUUGUGGUAUGGUAUAUGCAUGUCAUUCUAGAAGAAAUGGAAAUUCAACUAUGAGAAUGCAUAUUGAACACUACUGUAAAAAAAAUCCUUAUCAGAUUAAGAAGUCUAAGUUAGAUGUAACACAAACUAAGUUGGUUUUUAAGAACAAUGAGGGUAUUGGAGAUAAUUCAUAAUCACAUUCAUCUCUUAGUUACAAGAUGUUUACUAUUGAGAGUGCUUGGAGACUACUUGCUGAGAUGAUUAUUAUAGAUGAGUUACCAUUUAAAUUCGUGGAGAACCAAGGGUUUAAGAGGUUUGUGAAUGGGAUGCUAACAUUAGUAGAACCAGAAGUUUGUUCUUCCUUCUCCAAAAACAAUUGCUAGGGAUAUUUUGGGAAUUUAUGAUAGCGCGAAAGAGAUGUUGAAGAGCAUUUUUGUGAAAGAAGGAUAUAGAGUGUCACUCACAACCGAUACGUGGUCAUCAAUCCAAAAUAUGAACUAUUUGGUUUUGAUUGCACACUUUAUUGAUAAAGAUUGGAAAUUACAUAAGAGAAUUCUUAAUUUCACCCAAAUUGAGAAUCAUAGAGGGGAGACGAUAGGAAAAGAGGUUGAGAAAUGUCUAAAAUAGUGGGGUAUUGAAAAGGUUAUGACAUUGACAGUUGAUAAUGCUUCGUCAAAUUAUACUGCCAUUGCUUAUUUGAAGAAGCGUUUUACGCAUGGGUUGGUGUUAGAUGGUGAGUUCUUGCAUGUUCGAUGUUGUGCACAUAUAUUGAACUUAAUUGUAUGCGAUGACAUAUGAAGUAACUGUUAGGCUUUCAAGAUCUUUGUAUGUUACUUCAAAUACAGUCUUCCAUGAGAUUAGUAUUAUUCAGAAUUGCAUCAGAAAAUAUUCAAGUGCAACUGGUCUUAAUGAUGUGUUUUUGCAAGAAAUGACAAUGAAAAUGCAAGAAAAGUUUGAUAAGUAUUGGGGAAAAAAAGAUAGAACAAAUUUAUUCUUGUAUGUUGCCUUCGUUUUGGACCCUCGUUAUAAGAUGAAAUUUCUUUUGCAUUGCCUAAAUCAAUUAUUUGAUGUUGAUGUAGCAAAAACCAUAGGAAGUAAGGUAGAGGGUGUUUUGUGAGCAUUGUUCAAUGAAUACAAUUUGUCACUAUCAAUUGCUAAUAAGGGUCAAUCUUCAUGUACCAUUAAAAGUUCUCCAUUUAGAACUUCAAGUGCAAGUGCUUCAGAGAUUUUCCGUUUUGAUUUUGAAGAUUUGGAUGAAGAUGAUUCGCAAAGUGUGGAUUCAGAAGUUGAUAUUUACUUACUGGAGCCCCGUGUUAAACGUGAAGAUAACUUUGAUAUCUUAGAUUGGUAGAAGCGGAAUUCUUCUAGAUACAAGAUUCUUAACAAAAUUGCACGAGAUCUUUUAGCAGUUUCGGUAUCCACAGUUGCUUUUGAGUCCGCAUUCAGCACUAGUGGGAGAGUAAUUGAUCCUUUUCAUACCUCAUUAUCUCCAACCACUGUCGAGGUACUUGUAUGUGCACAAAAUUGGUUACGUUCUGAACAAAUUAGCACUAGUUUACGCCAAUACUUGGAGGAAAUUGAAGUUGAAAAGGAAGUUUUCAUAACGGGAUUGAACGAAGCGGCAAAUGCAAAAAACAAGGAGAAGGAGAAUCAUGAUCGACAAACGAACAAAUUUGUUUGUAUUGAUUGGACUUUUGGAAUUCAGCAUUAGUGUUUUAGCUUGUUAUUUGCUUUUAUGUGACUUGUGUAUUGUGUACUUCUAUUUUGGAGAACUUUUUAGUUUUUAACUUUUUAUUGUAGUAAUUUGGAUUGAUAUGUUUUUAUGAGUUAUUGUGGAUUGAUAUGUUUUUAUGA